Molecule: ribosomal RNA, 1012 nt
Filed under: uncultured bacterium
Lineage: Bacteria
Description: bacterial SSU rRNA
Rfam family: Bacterial small subunit ribosomal RNA
Source: RNAcentral
CUAAUUCCGUGCCAGCAGCCGCGGUAAUACGGAAGGUCCAGGCGUUAUCCGGGAUUUAUUGGGUUUAAAGGGAGCGCAGGCUGAUGAUUAAGCGUGACGUGAAAUGUAGCCGCUCAACGGCUGAACUGCGUCGCGAACUGGUUAUCUUGAGUGAGUUCGAUGUUGGCGGAAUUCGUGGUGUAGCGGUGAAAUGCUUAGAUAUCACGAAGAACUCCGAUUGCGAAGGCAGCCAACAAGGCCUUUACUGACGCUAAAGCUCGAAGGUGCGGGUAUCGAACAGGAUUAGAUACCCUGGUAGUCCGCACGGUAAACGAUGGAUGCCCGCUGUUUGCGAUAUACUGUGAGCGGCCAAGAGAAAUCGUUAAGCAUCCCACCUGGGGAGUACGCCGGCAACGGUGAAACUCAAAGGAAUUGACGGGGGCCCGCACAAGCGGAGGAACAUGUGGUUUAAUUCGAUGAUACGCGAGGAACCUUACCCGGGCUUGAACUGCCAGCGAACGAUUCAGAGAUGAUGAGGUCCUUCGGGACGCUGGUGGAGGUGCUGCAUGGUUGUCGUCAGCUCGUGCCGUGAGGUGUCGGCUUAAGUGCCAUAACGAGCGCAACCCUUUUCUUUAGUUGCCAUCAGGUAAUGCUGGGCACUCUGGAGAUACUGCCACCGUAAGGUGUGAGGAAGGUGGGGAUGACGUCAAAUCAGCACGGCCCUUACGUCCGGGGCUACACACGUGUUACAAUGGGGGGUACAGAGAGUCGGAUAUACGCAAGUAUGUUCUAAUCCUUAAAGCCUUCCUCAGUUCGGAUUGGGGUCUGCAACCCGACCCCAUGAAGCUGGAUUCGCUAGUAAUCGCGCAUCAGCCAUGGCGCGGUGAAUACGUUCCCGGGCCUUGUACACACCGCCCGUCAAGCCAUGAAAGCCGGGGGCGCUUGAAGUCCGUGACCGCAAGGAUCGGCCUAGAGCGAAACUGGUAAUUGGGGCUAAGUCGUAACAAGGUAAAUCACUGCCGUCGAACCCCCC